Molecule: ribosomal RNA, 639 nt
Filed under: Salmonella enterica
Lineage: Bacteria; Pseudomonadati; Pseudomonadota; Gammaproteobacteria; Enterobacterales; Enterobacteriaceae
Description: partial 23S ribosomal RNA
Rfam family: Bacterial large subunit ribosomal RNA
Source: RNAcentral
GACGUUCAACCGCAAAAGAAGCAGAGGGGGCUUAGUGGUGGGGUGACUGCGUACCUUUUGUAUAAUGGGUCAGCGACUUAUAUUCUGUAGCAAGGUUAACCGUAUAGGGGAGCCGGAGGGAAACCGAGUCUUAAUUGGGCGUUAAGUUGCAGGGUAUAGACCCGAAACCCGGUGAUCUAGCCAUGGGCAGGUUGAAGGUUGGGUAACACUAACUGGAGGACCGAACCGACUAAUGUUGAAAAAUUAGCGGAUGACCUGUGGCUGGGGGUGAAAGGCCAAUCAAACCGGGAGAUAGCUGGUUCUCCCCGAAAGCUAUUUAGGUAGCGCCUCGUGAAUUCAUCUCCGGGGGUAGAGCACUGUUUCGGCUAGGGGGCCAUCCCGGCUUACCAACCCGAUGCAAACUGCGAAUACCGGAGAAUGUUAUCACGGGAGACACACGGCGGGUGCUAACGUCCGUCGUGAAGAGGGAAACAACCCAGACCGCCAGCUAAGGUCCCAAAGUCAUGGUUAAGUGGGAAACGAUGUGGGAAGGCCCAGACAGCCAGGAUGUUGGCUUAGAAGCAGCCAUCAUUUAAAGAAAGCGUAAUAGCUCACUGGUCGAGUCGGCCUGCGCGGAAGAUGUAACGGGGCUAAACCAUG